AUGAGUCUGCUUGUAUGGAACUGUCGUGGGGCUGGCAAACCUGCGACAGUUCGUGAGCUUCGUGACUUCACGAGGCAACUUGCCCCCUCUAUAGUUUGCAUUCUCGAAACCCAAAUAGAGGGAUCUCAUGUUGAGAACAUGGUUGGCACUUUAGGUUUCAAUAAAAGUUUUGCUGUUGGAAGCUCUCGUAGGAGCGUAGGUUUAGGCAUUUUCUGGAAUGAGGAAAUAAAGCUUGAGAUUAUUGGUUAUUCUGAGUAUCAUAUCGAUGUGAUGGUUGAUGAAUUAACACCCACAAAAACUCGCAUUACCUUUGUGUAUGGGGAAGCUCACGUCCUUGAACGAAACAAAACAUAG
This 354-nucleotide ribosomal RNA is filed under the name Triticum aestivum (bread wheat). RNAcentral's name for it is "partial small subunit ribosomal RNA". The record is from RNAcentral. Lineage: Eukaryota; Viridiplantae; Streptophyta; Magnoliopsida; Poales; Poaceae.